Molecule: ribosomal RNA, 433 nt
Filed under: uncultured bacterium
Lineage: Bacteria
Description: partial 16S ribosomal RNA
Rfam family: Bacterial small subunit ribosomal RNA
Source: RNAcentral
AACGAACGCUGGCGGCAUGCCUAACACAUGCAAGUCGAACGAAACCUUCGGGUCUAGUGGCGCACGGGUGCGUAACGCGUGGGAACCUGCCCUUAGGUUCGGAAUAACUCCCCGAAAGGGGUGCUAAUACCGGAUAAUGUCUUCGGACCCAAGAUUUAUCGCCUUUGGAUGGGCCCGCGUUGGAUUAGCUAGUUGGUAGUGUAAAAGCCUACCAAGGCGACGAUCCAUAGCUGGUCUGAGAGGAUGAUCAGGCACACUGGGACUGCGACACGGCCCAGACUCCUACGGGAGGCAGCAGUGGGGAAUAUUGGACAAUGGGCGAAAGCCUGAGCCAGCAAUGCCGCGUGAGUGAUGAAGGCCUUAGGGUUGUAAAGCUCUUUUACCCGGGAUGAUAAUGACGGUACCGGGAGAAUAAGCUCCGGCUAACUCCGUG